CGCUACGGCCAAUCAGAGAGCGGGACACGCCCCUUUCCGGGCUGGCUCGCCGAGGUGUCCAAUCACCGGCCUGCGGCCUUUGCGUCACGCGGCCUCCUGUUCCUCCCCUACGGAGCGCCUGGAGGGCGGGACCAGCGCCCGGAGCUGCAGUAGCUCAGUCUAGGUUCGGACUGCUUGUGGUCCAGGCUAAGAGGAAAGCUUCUGACUCUCUGCGGUGUGGGCCACUCACACAUUGAGCACUGACUGUGCCGGGCAUUGUAUAGAAGGAGACCGGAGCUCCAUGUGUUGCUGUGAGUUCUGGGCGCCGGACCCAACCGAAUUGCGAAGCUCAGAAAGGUCUGAGGCAGAAGGGUGGAGAAUGGAGCGCAGCCCACGAGCUCCGGAGCAGGGUACCUGGAAUGCCAAGAGUUGGGAAAGGCCUGACUUUCGUCCUUAUUCUAGGAGCAAGGGAAAGCAGGCUUUAAAUCUGAGCAGAUUUGUAUUUGAAAAGGCCACUCUAGCUGUAUUGUGAAGGGAUAGUUUGGAGGGGGAGGUCACAAUAGAUGCGAGGAGACGGGCGUGGUGGUGCGUGCCUGUAACCCCAGCACUCUGGGAGGCUCAGGCAAGAUCUGUAGUUGGAGCAACUUAGGGGAGACUGUCUCAAAAGUUUUAAAAGGGCUGAGAAUGCUGGUCAGUGCAAUGGCCCUGGGUUCAAUCUACAGUACCAGUAAAUAAAUAGAGCAAGGCUGCAAGAUCCUGUCUCAUUCAUUGCAAUAUGAAUUCCCAGGGCUUGGUGUUCAGACAACCAGCUGUGCAGAAGGUACUCAGUAAAUAUUUUUGUUGAGUGACCAAAUAUUUUCAGGUAUAGUAAGUCCCUGACUUAGGAACAUUUGCGGUUUGAACUUUCACAGGUAUACUGUACAAGAUUUACAGUUAUACUAUAUAAGACACACUGUUGGAUUACCAAUGAAUCUGACUUACAAACAUUCUCCUGGAAUGGAACUUCUUCUGAGGUUGGAGAUUUAUUGUAUUUUAUUUGGUAAUUUCCUGCUUUGAAUCAACAGAGAUUAAUGCCUAUACUUUCUGUCCCCUCAAAAUGGAAAGCAGGUAUUUGAACAAAAACUUGUACUGUUCACAAAGAUACUUUUCACAAUAGCCAAAAGGUUGCAACAACUUAAAUGUAUAUUAACUGAUGAAUGAAUAAAUAAAAUGUGGUACAGCAGAUUAUUAUUUGGCCUUCAAAAGGAAUGAAGUAUUGAUACAUGUUGUAACAUAGAUGAACCUUGAAAUUGUGCUAACUGAAAGAAGCCAGAGGCAAAAGGCCACAUGUGGUCUGAUUCCAUGUAUAUGAAAUGUCUGGAAUAGGCAAUUCCAUAAGAGAAAGUGCAUUAGUGGGUGCUGGGGUAGGGUAGGGGAUAUUGGUGAGAACUCAAUGGUUAUGGAGUUUCCUUUUGGAGUAAUUAAAAUGUUCUGAAUAUAGUGGUAAUAAUUGCACAAAAUUGUGAAUUUAGCCAGGUGUAAUCCCAGCACUUGGGAGGCUGAGGCAGGAGGAUUGCUGUGAGUUCGAGACCAGCCUGGGCUACACACAUCUCCAUGUGCAGCAGAGAUCACACUUUCAGAAGCAGCCUUCAAGCCAGUGUUGUUUUUGGAGUCUUUAAGCUGCUUAUCACCAAAUUACAACAUCAUGAAAACAUCUGCUCUUGAGAGAAGACCUCUUCCCACUGGACAUCUGGAAUCAGCUACUUCCUAUUGUCUUCCUAGCAUAGCCAACCACUGUCAGCUCUGAAAGCAUCUGUGAGCACAGUAUCCUCAUUUCCAAAUCACAGAUGCCCAGAACAAUUGUGAGCCAGUUCUGGUUGAUCCUAUAUAGAAGCCCUGAAAGAAAAUUGCAUGGAGAAAUACCUAGGUGAAGGCCAAGCAGGAGUGGCUAGACCUCUUUAGCACCUUUCAGUCAGUAAGUAUUUGCUGUUUGGAUGAAUGAAUUUUUUGUUUGCAUACAUGUGUUUGUGGCAAAUAAUUUUGCAUGUGCUAAAAGUGAAGUAAAACUGUAGCAAAUUAAUAAGCCAGAAGCUGAGAAAUACGAUCAAAUGCUUCAUUAAUAAUCACAACCGAAUCAUAUAUGGUGCUUAUGAGAUGCCAAACAUUGUUCUAGACAUUAGUUCAUUUAAUCCAUAUGCCAGCCUGAUGAUGUAGAUGCUUUCCUUGUCCUGUGUUCCCGUGGCCUGAGUGCUUCUGUGAGCAGGAUAGCUGGGUUCAUGGGUGUUAGCAAUCUGCCUUGACUGUGAUCUCCUAAUUAUGCAUUAUUGCUAAGCAUUGAGCUAAAAGCUCAGAUUUGAGUGGGACAUAGUCUCUUUCCUUAAAGACUGGUGCAACCAAAAGACAAAUAUUAUCAGAACAGUCCUAAAGUGUGUAGACCACUUAUUACUUCAAAAUUGUAUGGGAAUACUGAGACUCUACUGGGGACCUAUGAUAUACUUAGAUCCUUCAAAACAUUGCAUGGCGGUGUAAGACUUGAAUAAACUAAAGUGACUCCAUGCUAAUAGGCCAGACUGUGCUUCUUCAUAUGCUAAUUGCUACCUUGGUUAACAGCCCGCCCAGGGGCAAAUGGUUUGGCAAAAGGUGACCUUAGAACUUUUCCUGCAUAAGAUAAGCAAUGUGUUUGCAGUCUUGUUCUGUGAAUUCCCUGACUCUUUGUUUA
This is a long non-coding RNA of Fukomys damarensis (Damara mole-rat), 2677 nucleotides long. RefSeq lists it as uncharacterized. The record is from RefSeq and is a predicted model, not a curated record. NCBI's taxonomy places the organism in Eukaryota, Metazoa, Chordata, Mammalia, Rodentia, Bathyergidae. The transcript has 4 exons.